RNAcentral lists this ribosomal RNA (255 nucleotides) under uncultured bacterium. Its description in RNAcentral is "partial 16S ribosomal RNA". It matches the Rfam family "Bacterial small subunit ribosomal RNA", at positions 524 to 776 of the family's 1533-position model. The record is from RNAcentral.
UACGGGGGGAGCAAGCGUUGUUCGGAUUUACUGGGCGUAAAGGGCGCGUAGGCGGUCGUGACAAGUCACUUGUGAAAUCUCCGGGCUUAACUCGGAACGGUCAAGUGAUACUGUCGGACUAGAGUACAGAAGGGGCAACUGGAAUUCUCGGUGUAGCGGUGAAAUGCGUAGAUAUCGAGAGGAACACCUGCAGCGAAGGCGGGUUGCUGGGCUGAUACGUGACGCUGAGGCGCGAAAGCCGGGGGAGCGAACGGG